This 379-nucleotide ribosomal RNA is filed under the name uncultured bacterium. RNAcentral describes it as "bacterial SSU rRNA". It matches the Rfam family "Bacterial small subunit ribosomal RNA", at positions 790 to 1167 of the family's 1533-position model. The record is from RNAcentral.
GUAGUCCACGCCGUAAACGAUGAGCACUAGUUGUGGCGGGAAUUAACCCCUGCCGUGACGUAGCAAACGCGUUAAGUGCUCCGCCUGGGGAGUACGGUCGCAAGACUAAAACUCAAAGGAAUUGACGGGGGCCCGCACAAGCGGUGGAUCAUGUGGUUUAAUUCGAAGCAACGCGCAGAACCUUACCUGGGUUUGAAAUCCUACGAAUUCUGCAGAGAUGUGGAAGUGCCCUUCGGGGAAUGUAGUGACAGGUGCUGCAUGGCUGUCGUCAGCUCGUGUUGUGAAAUGUUGGGUUAAGUCUCGCAACGAGCGCAACCCCUGUCUUUAGUUGCCAGCAUUAAGUUGGGCACUCUAAAGAGACUGCCAGGGUUAACCUGGA